AGGAAGCUGGUCCAGUUGUCUUUCUGGUGCCCGAUGGUGAGCCUGGGGAGUGUGUUGCUAGAGUCUGGCAGGAAGGACGGUGCAAUCUGUGCUCAGUGAUGGCAAUGUCUCCCAAGUGCUAUUCCUGAGUUGUGGCGAAUUCAUCCAUGUGGUCUGUGACUGUUGGGCAACAAGUAAUGUCUUCCCUCGCAGGAUGAAAGCUUCUUUGCUAGAGAGACGACCGAGAACUAGAGAGAAGCACCUGCAGAUGUCCUUACACAGCUGGCCAGGGUCCAGAGCGGAGAAUUGGACCUGAAGAGACAAUGGUUCAUGUGAGCUGGUUCCAUCCAAGGCUGGGCAGAGCACCAGAUCUUCCUAGUUCUUAUGUUCCAUAGAUGAGAGAAAGAGAAGUCCCCAGCUCGAGUUCACGUUGCAUACAUGGGACAUCCAGCGUGCCCCAGAUCAGCGAAGAUCCAGAGAGUUUGAGUUUCUUUUGAUCAGCAAGGAUGAUUCUGAAAGGAAGGAGCCCACAGAAGCCUGAUUGCUGCACUUGUGUUUAAGGGAACUCUUGCACAUGGAAAAUAAGCCUGUCAGGAGAGGCCAGGUUAUUCUGGAGGAAUAAAUAAGCCCCAAUCUCAGCGGCUUACCACCACAAAGUUUAUUUCUACCCGGUGUCGAGGCCACUCUUGAGAGCAGCUGUGCCCUGCGCCGGACGCUGGUGCAGGCUGAUCUGAUCUUGUCAUUUCAACAGAAAUGUCUGUCUGACAGCAUCAACGGCAGUCUCCACCGUCCCUGCAGCACGGGAAGCGGAAGCGCGAGCCUGGCCUGAAAGGGAGGUGUAUUUGGCUAGAACGGAUCCCAUGGCCCUGCUCAACUUUGAAGGGCUGGAAGUAGAGUCUUCUGGGUGCCCCAGAGGAGAGGAGAAGGCCAGGAAACCUGGACUACCUGGUAACAGAUUCUGCAGAGAUUUCCGGGUGACUGAGUGGAGAGUGCAGACUCCAGGAGAUGUCAAGUGUUUUCCACAGUGGGCUGAGGAAGCCAGAGAAUUGGCAGGGAGAAGAGUAGAAGCUCUGAAGAAUGGAGCAUCUUGCCCACGUCCCCCCAACCAAUAA
This 1091-nucleotide long non-coding RNA is filed under the name Ursus thibetanus thibetanus. Its description in RNAcentral is "lncRNA (ENSUTTG00000016023.1)". Lineage: Eukaryota; Metazoa; Chordata; Mammalia; Carnivora; Ursidae. The record is from RNAcentral.